This 629-nucleotide ribosomal RNA is filed under the name Streptomyces sp. M7(2009). Its description in RNAcentral is "bacterial SSU rRNA". It matches the Rfam family "Bacterial small subunit ribosomal RNA", at positions 287 to 922 of the family's 1533-position model. The record is from RNAcentral. Lineage: Bacteria; Bacillati; Actinomycetota; Actinomycetes; Kitasatosporales; Streptomycetaceae.
CCGGCCUGACAGGGCGACCGGCCACACUGGGACUGAGACACGGCCCAGACUCCUACGGGAGGCAGCAGUGGGGAAUAUUGCACAAUGGGCGAAAGCCUGAUGCAGCGACGCCGCGUGAGGGAUGACGGCCUUCGGGUUGUAAACCUCUUUCAGCAGGGAAGAAGCGAAAGUGACGGUACCUGCAGAAGAAGCGCCGGCUAACUACGUGCCAGCAGCCGCGGUAAUACGUAGGGCGCAAGCGUUGUCCGGAAUUAUUGGGCGUAAAGAGCUCGUAAGCGGCUUGUCACGUCCGGUGUGAAAGCCCGGGGCUUAACCCCGGGUCUGCAUCCGAUACGGGCAGGCUAGAGCGUGGUAGGGGAGAUCGGAAUUCCUGGUGUAGCGGUGAAAUGCGCAGAUAUCAGGAAGGAACACCGGUGGCCGAAGGCGGAUCUCUGGGCCAUUACUGACGCUGAGGAGCGAAAGCGUGGGGAGCGAACAGGAUUAAAUACCCUGGUAGUCCACGCCGUAAACCUUGGGAACUAGGUGUUGGCGACAUUCCCCGUCGUCGGUGCCCGCAGCUAACGCAUUAAGUUCCCCGCCUGGGGAGUACGGCCGCAAGGCUAAAACUCAAAGGAAAUUGACGGGGGCCC